AGAUGGUGUAUGAGAUCUGGUGACCCAUGAAGAAAUCUGGAUUCUGCUGAGAACUGUAUAGGCGGCCAAAUUGCAUAAAAAAACCUGAUAACCUAUGGGGAUGUUCUUGGAGUGUGGGAGUAAAACAGAGAACCCAGGGAAAGCCACAGAGGAAAUGGGAAAAAUGUUAAAGGCACAGAAUAUUGUCAUUUUUUUUUAGAACCAAUCAACUGCACCUUCCUGAUCAAUGAUGUUGCCCUAGACAUGAGCCUACUCUGCCUACUCCGUGUCCUGACCCUCU
Long non-coding RNA from Bufo gargarizans (Asiatic toad), 280 nucleotides. RefSeq lists it as uncharacterized. NCBI's taxonomy places the organism in Eukaryota, Metazoa, Chordata, Amphibia, Anura, Bufonidae. The record is from RefSeq and is a predicted model, not a curated record. The transcript has 3 exons.